AUUGAACGCUGGCGGCGUGCCUUACACAUGCAAGUCGAACGGCAGCACGGGAGCUUGCUCCUGGUGGCGAGUGGCGAACGGGUGAGUAAUGCAUCGGAACGUGCCCUGAAGUGGGGGAUAACGUAGCGAAAGUUACGCUAAUACCGCAUAUUCUGUGAGCAGGAAAGCAGGGGAUCUUCGGACCUUGCGCUUUUGGAGCGGCCGAUGUCGGAUUAGCUAGUUGGUGGGGUAAAGGCCCACCAAGGCGACGAUCCGUAGCGGGUCUGAGAGGAUGAUCCGCCACACUGGAACUGAGACACGGUCCAGACUCCUACGGGAGGCAGCAGUGGGGAAUUUUGGACAAUGGGCGCAAGCCUGAUCCAGCCAUGCCGCGUGAGUGAAGAAGGUCUUCGGGUUGUAAAGCUCUUUCGGUGGGGAAGAAAUUGCUUCGGUUAAUACCUGGAGUAGAUGACGAUACCCGCAUAAGAAGCACCGGCUAACUACGUGCCAGCAGCCGC
Molecule: ribosomal RNA, 497 nt
Filed under: uncultured bacterium
Lineage: Bacteria
Description: bacterial SSU rRNA
Rfam family: Bacterial small subunit ribosomal RNA
Source: RNAcentral